This 253-nucleotide ribosomal RNA is filed under the name uncultured bacterium. Its description in RNAcentral is "partial 16S ribosomal RNA". It matches the Rfam family "Bacterial small subunit ribosomal RNA", at positions 524 to 776 of the family's 1533-position model. The record is from RNAcentral.
UACGUAGGGUGCGAGCGUUAAUCGGAAUUACUGGGCGUAAAGCGUGCGCAGGCGGUUCGCAAAGUCUGAUGUGAAAGCCCCGGGCUCAACCUGGGAACUGCAUUGGAAACUAACGGGCUCGAGUGUGGCAGAGGGGGGUGGAAUUCCACGUGUAGCAGUGAAAUGCGUAGAGAUGUGGAGGAAUACCGAUGGCGAAGGCAGCCUCCUGGGCCAACACUGACGCUCAUGCACGAAAGCGUGGGGAGCAAACAGG